ACGGGACUGUUUCGGCUUGGUUUAGUUCAUGUUAUCGUUCAUUGUUUUGUAUUUCAUAGUGUUCAGGCUUUUUCUUAUUAAAAUUCGUCAUGAACACUUACCACGCCGCAUCUUGGUUCGAUCCUUACUCCUCUUCAGACGAAGAGGAGGAAAUCUGCCGUUUACAUCCAGUCACUCACCUCAGCCAGAGACCAAUGAGAUGGUGUUAUGAUCACAUGUAGCUGCUUACAACGGCAUUUGCCGAAGAUGUCUGAAAGGUUUCAGAGAAAGGCCCAGUAUGAGGAGGUCUGUGGUGCAAUCAAUUCCAUGAUGGGUCUAUGACAACCACACAAAGGUACAGACAGGAUAGCCACUGGUUCACCUACAAACUGCCUUCCACCUCUCAUUUUCCAAAAGCAAAACAAGUGCUGGGAGUUGAAUUUGUUAUAUUUCUCUCUCUCUCUCAUAACUAUUGACUAUUUCCACAUGUUUUGUGUUACAGCCUGAAUUUAGAAUGUAUUACAUUUAGAUUAUUUUAUCACUGGCCUACAUACAAUACCCCAUAAUGUCAAAUUAAUAAAACAUGAAAAGCUGAAAUAAGUAUUCAACCACUUUGUUAUGGAAAGCCUAAAAUAAGCUCAGGAGUAAAAAUCUGUGUGCAAUGAUAGUGUUUAACAUGAAUUUUGAAUGACUACCUCAUCUCUGUACCCCACACAUACAAUUAUCUAUAAGGUCCUUUAGUCAAACACAAAUUCAACC
Molecule: long non-coding RNA, 738 nt
Organism: Oncorhynchus keta (chum salmon)
Lineage: Eukaryota; Metazoa; Chordata; Actinopteri; Salmoniformes; Salmonidae
Exons: 3
Source: RefSeq, a predicted model, not a curated record